GCCGAAGUGGCGAAAUUGGCAGACGCACUGGACUCAAAAUCCAGCACCGUUUUACGGUAUGCCGGUUCGAGUCCGGCCUUCGGCA
This 85-nucleotide transfer RNA is filed under the name Candidatus Cloacimonadota bacterium. Its description in RNAcentral is "tRNA-Leu". It matches the Rfam family "tRNA". From Rfam's summary of the family: Transfer RNA (tRNA) molecules are approximately 80 nucleotides in length. Their secondary structure includes four short double-helical elements and three loops (D, anti-codon, and T loops). Lineage: Bacteria; Pseudomonadati; Candidatus Cloacimonadota. The record is from RNAcentral.